Molecule: ribosomal RNA, 1485 nt
Filed under: uncultured bacterium
Lineage: Bacteria
Description: bacterial SSU rRNA
Rfam family: Bacterial small subunit ribosomal RNA
Source: RNAcentral
AGAGUUUGAUCGUGGCUCAGAGUGAACGCUGGCGGCGUGCUUAACACAUGCAAGUCGAACGAGAACGGGUUACAGCUUGCUGUAACUGUCAGUUAAGUGGCGCACGGGUGAGUAAUAUAUAGGUAACAUGCCCCAAAGAAGAGGAUAACGUGUGGAAACGGACGCUAAUACUAUAUAUGCCUUUAAGUCAUAAGACUGCAAGGGAAAUAUUUAUAGCUUUGGGAUUGGCCUGUACAGUAUCAGCUAGUUGGUGAGGUAAUGGCUCACCAAGGCAAUGACGCUUAACUGGUUUGAGAGGAUGAUCAGUCACAGUGGAAUUGUGACACGGUCCAGACUCCUACGGGAGGCAGCAGUGGGGAAUAUUGCACAAUGGACGAAAGUCUGAUGCAGCAACGCCGCGUGGAGGAUGACACAUUUCGGUGCGUAAACUCCUCUUAUAUAGGAAGAUAAUGACGGUAUUAUAUGUAAUAAGCACCGGCUAACUCCGUGCCAGCAGCCGCGGUAAUACGGAGGGUGCAAGCGUUACUCGGAAUCACUGGGCGUAAAGAGAAUGUAGGCGGGUUAAUAAGUUGGAAGUGAAAUCCUAUGGCUCAACCAUAGAACUGCUUUCAAAACUGUUGACAUAGAAUAUGGGAGAGGUAGAUGGAAUUUCUGGUGUAGGGGUAAAAUCCGUAGAGAUCAGAAGGAAUACCGAUUGCGAAGGCGAUGUAGUGGAACAUUAUUGACGAUGAGAUUUGAAAGCGUGGGGAGCAAACAGGAUUAGAUACCAUGGUAGUCCACGCCCUAAACGAUGCACAGUAGUUGUUGCCUUGCUCGACAAGGCAGUAAUGCAGUUAACACAUUAAGUGUGCCGCCUGGGGAGUACGGUCGCAAGAUUAAAACUCAAAGGAAUAGACGGGGACCCGCACAAGCGGUGGAGCAUGUGGUUUAAUUCGACGAUACGCGAAGAACCUUACCUGGACUUGACAUAGAAAGAAUUUAGCAGAGAUGUAAAAGUGCCAGCUUGCUGGAACUUUCAUACAGGUGCUGCACGGCUGUCGUCAGCUCGUGUCUGUGAGAUGUUGGGUUAAGUCCCGCAACGAGCGCAACCCUCGUGUUUAGUUACUAACAGUUCGGCUGAGGACUCUAGACAGACUGCCUGGGUAACCAGGAGGAAGGUGAGGAUGACGUCAAGUCAUCACAUGGCCCUUAUGUCCAGGGCUACACACGUGCUACAAUGGGGCAUACAAAGAGCAGCGAUACCGCGAGGUGGAGCAAAUCUGUUAAAAUGCCUCUCAGUUCGGAUAGCACUCUGCAACUCGAGUGCUUGAAGUUGGAAUCGCUAGUCAAUCGUGGAUCAGCAAUGCCACGGUGAAUACGUUCCCGGGUCUUGUACUCACCGCCCGUCACACCAUGUGAAUUGAAUUCAUUCCGAAGCGGGGUUGCUAAAAUANCUACCUUCCACAGUGGAUUUANUAACUGGGGUUAANUCNUAACAACGUAACC